This 20-nucleotide non-coding RNA is filed under the name Vibrio phage 1.008.O._10N.286.54.E5. The record is from RNAcentral. RNAcentral also lists the same sequence under 2 other names. Lineage: Varidnaviria; Abadenavirae; Produgelaviricota; Belvinaviricetes; Vinavirales; Autolykiviridae.
AAGCGAAAGCGGAAGCGGAA